UCGUUUUAGAUUAUUAUUUUUUUUAAUCCAUUGCUUAUGAUAAUUAUGUUAGCUAUGCAACUGUGAUGGGAUUCCAGCAUGGUCAAAAUUUAGUAGGCCAAAAUCUCCACAUGGCAUAUGCUAAUUAGUAUCUGGUUACAAACAGUUGGAUGAGUCAUCAGUAUACGGAGCAUGUGUGAAAGUGGAUAGUAAAAUCCUUUGUCUUCAACAAGCCAUGUGGUCUGCCAUAUAAGGUGAUCCUGAAUAUCCUGUGUGCUGAUUGGUCUGAGGAAUAUAGGAGGGGUUAUACUGUAUGGGAGGAGAUAUGCAGUUAACAAAAGUCUCAUGCACCAGGUAUUUGUCUCUCAGAAUUUUGGAACAGGAGUUCAUCUGAGACCCGAUCGGUAAUGUGAAUAAAGGCCUCUUACUUCCUGAAGACUUGUGUCCAUAUCUCUGUGUUUGGC
Pelobates cultripes (western spadefoot toad) is the source of this 443-nucleotide non-coding RNA. The record is from the annotation of a GenBank genome assembly. Lineage: Eukaryota; Metazoa; Chordata; Amphibia; Anura; Pelobatidae.